Cercocebus atys (sooty mangabey) is the source of this 142-nucleotide non-coding RNA. NCBI's taxonomy places the organism in Eukaryota, Metazoa, Chordata, Mammalia, Primates, Cercopithecidae. The record is from Ensembl.
GGCCUCUCUCCCAUGGUGCUGUGGGUGGGGGAGGGAGGGUGCUUUUCUCCUCAGCGAAGACUGGAGGCCGACAUCAGCCCUCAAGGAUCAUCCUCAGAACUGCCAUGAGCUGGGCAGCCUUGUUUUCCUACCUCACACAUUU